This 372-nucleotide ribosomal RNA is filed under the name uncultured organism. Its description in RNAcentral is "bacterial SSU rRNA". It matches the Rfam family "Bacterial small subunit ribosomal RNA", at positions 526 to 896 of the family's 1533-position model. The record is from RNAcentral.
CAGAGGGUGCAAGCGUUGUUCGGAAUUACUGGGCGUAAAGCGCGCGCAGGCGGAAGUGCAAGUCUCGAGUGAAAUCCCGCCGCUCAACGGCGGGGCUGCUUAGGAUACUGCACCUCUAGGGACCGGUAGAGGCUGGUAGAAUUGCAGGUGUAGCGGUGGAAUGCGUAGAGAUCUGCAAGAAUACCCGUGGCGAAGGCGGCCAGCUGGGCCGGAUCCGACGCUGAGGCGCGAAAGCGUGGGGAGCAAAUAGGAUUAGAUACCCUGGUAGUCCACGCCGUAAACGAUGGGCACUAGGUGCCGGGGGGAGCGACCCCGUCGGUGCCGCAGCUAACGCGAUAAGUGCCCCGCCUGGGGAGUACGGCCGCAAGGCUG